This 337-nucleotide ribosomal RNA is filed under the name uncultured bacterium. RNAcentral's name for it is "partial 16S ribosomal RNA". It matches the Rfam family "Bacterial small subunit ribosomal RNA", at positions 338 to 667 of the family's 1533-position model. The record is from RNAcentral.
CCUACGGGAGACAGCAGUAGGGAAUUUUCCACAAUGGGCGAAAGCCUGAUGGAGCAACGCCGCGUGGGUGAAGAAGGUCUUCGGAUCGUAAAACCCUGUUGUUAGAGAAGAAAGUGCGUGAGAGUAACUGUUCACGUUUCGACGGUAUCUACCCAGAAAGCCACGGCUAACUACGUGCCAGCAGCCGCGGUAAAACGUAGGUGGCAAGCGUUAUCCGGAUGAAUUGGGCGUAAAGGGAACGCAGGCGGUCUUUUAAGUCUGAUGUGAAAGCCUUCGGCUUAACCGGAGUAGUGCAUGGGAAACUGGGAGACUUGAGUGCAGAAGAGGAGAGUGGAAC